UGGCUCAGAACGAACGCUGGCGGCAGGCUUAACACAUGCAAGUCGAGCGCCCUCUUCGGAGGGAGCGGCGGACGGGUUAGUAACGCGUGGGAACGUGCCUUUCGCUACGGAAUAGCCCAGGGAAACUUGGAUUAAUACCGUAUACGCCCUUUUGGGGAAAGAUUUAUCGGCGAGAGAUCGGCCCGCGUUGGAUUAGGUAGUUGGUGGGGUAAUGGCCUACCAAGCCGACGAUCCAUAGCUGGUUUGAGAGGAUGAUCAGCAACACUGGGACUGAGACACGGCCCAGACUCCUACGGGAGGCAGCAGUGGGGAAUCUUGGACAAUGGGGGCAACCCUGAUCCAGCCAUGCCGCGUGAGUGAUGAAGGCCUUAGGGUCGUAAAGCUCUUUCGCCUGUGAAGAUAAUGACGGUAGCAGGUAAAGAAACCCCGGCUAACUCCGUGCCAGCAGCCGCGGUAAUACGGAGGGGGUUAGCGUUGUUCGGAAUUACUGGGCGUAAAGCGCACGUAGGCGGACCAGAAAGUUGGGGGUGAAAUCCCGGGGCUCAACCCCGGAACUGCCUCCAAAACUAUUGGUCUAGAGUUCGAGAGAGGUGAGUGGAAUUCCAAGUGUAGAGGUGAAAUUCGUAGAUAUUUGGAGGAACACCAGUGGCGAAGGCGGCUCACUGGCUCGAUACUGACGCUGAGGUGCGAAAGUGUGGGGAGCAAACAGGAUUAGAUACCCUGGUAGUCCACACCGUAAACGAUGAAUGCCAGUCGUCGGGUAGCAUGCUAUUCGGUGACACACCUAACGGAUUAAGCAUUCCGCCUGGGGAGUACGGUCGCAAGAUUAAAACUCAAA
This 838-nucleotide ribosomal RNA is filed under the name uncultured marine bacterium. RNAcentral's name for it is "bacterial SSU rRNA". It matches the Rfam family "Bacterial small subunit ribosomal RNA", at positions 20 to 905 of the family's 1533-position model. The record is from RNAcentral.